GCCGUAGAUGAAUGGUAGGAUAUCUGCCUUGUACUCAGAAGGUCCCAGGUUCAAGCCCUGCCAUCUCCA
Non-coding RNA from Podarcis lilfordi (Lilford's wall lizard), 69 nucleotides. The record is from the annotation of a GenBank genome assembly. NCBI's taxonomy places the organism in Eukaryota, Metazoa, Chordata, Lepidosauria, Squamata, Lacertidae.